This 911-nucleotide ribosomal RNA is filed under the name uncultured bacterium. RNAcentral describes it as "bacterial SSU rRNA". It matches the Rfam family "Bacterial small subunit ribosomal RNA", at positions 13 to 917 of the family's 1533-position model. The record is from RNAcentral.
UUGAUCCUGGCUCAGAUUGAACGCUGGCGGAAUGCUUUACACAUGCAAGUCGAACGGCAGCACGGACUUCGGUCUGGUGGCGAGUGGCGAACGGGUGAGUAAUAUAUCGGAACGUAUCCGAUAAUGGGGGAUAACUAAUCGAAAGGUUGGCUAAUACCGCAUACGCCCCACGGGGGAAAGCAGGGGAUCUUCGGACCUUGCGUUAAUGGAGCGGCUGAUAUCUGAUUAGCUAGUUGGUGAGGUAAAGGCUCACCAAGGCGACGAUCAGUAGCUGGUCUGAGAGGACGACCAGCCACACUGGAACUGAGACACGGUCCAGACUCCUACGGGAGGCAGCAGUGGGGAAUUUUGGACAGUGGGCGCCAGCCUGAUCCAGCCAUUCCGCGUGAGUGAAGAAGGCCUUCGGGUUGUAAAGCUCUUUCUCAAGGGAAGAAAACUUACUUUUUAAUAAAGAGUGAGGUUGACGGUACCUUGAUAAGAAGCACCGGCUAACUACAUGCCAGCAGCCGCGGUAAUACGUAGGGUGCGAGCGUUAAUCGGAAUUACUGGGCGUAAAGCGUGCGCAGGCGGUUUUGUCAGUCAGAUGUGAAAUCCCCCAGCUCAACUUGCGAACUGCGUUCGAGACUACAAGACUAUAAUAUGUCAGAGGGGGAUAGAAUUCGACGUGUAGCAGUGAAAUGCGUAAAGAUGUGGAGGANUACCAAUGGCGAAGGCAGCCCCCUGGGAUAAUAUUGACGCUCAUGCACGACAGCGUGGGGAGCAGCCAGGAUUAGAUACUCCUGGUAGUCCACGCCCUAAACGAUGUCUACUAGUUGUUGGUGGAGUAAAAUCCAUGACUAACGCAACUAACGCGUGAUGUACACCGCCUGGGGAGUACGUCGCACGAUGUAGAACUCAUAUGAAUUGACGGG